This 584-nucleotide ribosomal RNA is filed under the name Colletotrichum gloeosporioides. RNAcentral's name for it is "eukaryotic LSU rRNA". The stretch from base 203 to 356 matches the Rfam family "5.8S ribosomal RNA". Lineage: Eukaryota; Fungi; Ascomycota; Sordariomycetes; Glomerellales; Glomerellaceae. The record is from RNAcentral.
UCCGUAGGUGAACCUGCGGAGGGAUCAUUACUGAGUUUACGCUCUAUAACCCUUUGUGAACAUACCUAUAACUGUUGCUUCGGCGGGUAGGGUCUCCGCGACCCUCCCGGCCUCCCGCCUCCGGGCGGGUCGGCGCCCGCCGGAGGAUAACCAAACUCUGAUUUAACGACGUUUCUUCUGAGUGGUACAAGCAAAUAAUCAAAACUUUUAACAACGGAUCUCUUGGUUCUGGCAUCGAUGAAGAACGCAGCGAAAUGCGAUAAGUAAUGUGAAUUGCAGAAUUCAGUGAAUCAUCGAAUCUUUGAACGCACAUUGCGCCCGCCAGCAUUCUGGCGGGCAUGCCUGUUCGAGCGUCAUUUCAACCCUCAAGCUCUGCUUGGUGUUGGGGCCCUACAGCUGAUGUAGGCCCUCAAAGGUAGUGGCGGACCCUCCCGGAGCCUCCUUUGCGUAGUAACUUUACGUCUCGCACUGGGAUCCGGAGGGACUCUUGCCGUAAAACCCCCCAAUUUUCCAAAGGUUGACCUCGGAUCAGGUAGGAAUACCCGCUGAACUUAAGCAUAUCAAUAAGCGGAGGAAAUCUCUAG